RNAcentral lists this ribosomal RNA (512 nucleotides) under Fusarium sp. SGLAf47. Its description in RNAcentral is "eukaryotic LSU rRNA". It matches the Rfam family "Eukaryotic large subunit ribosomal RNA", at positions 1 to 552 of the family's 3401-position model. Lineage: Eukaryota; Fungi; Ascomycota; Sordariomycetes; Hypocreales; Nectriaceae. The record is from RNAcentral.
UUGACCUCGGAUCAGGUAGGAAUACCCGCUGAACUUACAACAGGGAUUGCCCUAGUAACGGCGAGUGAAGCGGCAACAGCUCAAAUUUGAAAUCUGGCUCUCGGGCCCGAGUUGUAAUUUGUAGAGGAUACUUUUGAUGCGGUGCCUUCCGAGUUCCCUGGAACGGGACGCCAUAGAGGGUGAGAGCCCCGUCUGGUUGGAUGCCAAAUCUCUGUAAAGUUCCUUCGACGAGUCGAGUAGUUUGGGAAUGCUGCUCUAAAUGGGAGGUAUAUGUCUUCUAAAGCUAAAUACCGGCCAGAGACCGAUAGCGCACAAGUAGAGUGAUCGAAAGAUGAAAAGCACUUUGAAAAGAGAGUUAAAAAGUACGUGAAAUUGUUGAAAGGGAAGCGUUUAUGACCAGACUUGGGCUUGGUUAAUCAUCUGGGGUUCUCCCCAGUGCACUUUUCCAGUCCAGGCCAGCAUCAGUUUUCCCCGGGGGAUAAAGACUUCGGGAAUGUGGCUCUCUUCGGGGA